CCCUUAGAUGUUCUGGACCGCACGCGUGCUACACUGAGUGGAUCAGCGGGUCAGGUUGCGCGAAAGCGUUUCCUAAUCUUUAAAUCCGCUCGUGAUGGGGAUUGACGGUUGCAAUUUUCUGUCAUGAACGAGGAAUACCUUGUAAGCGCGGGUCAUCAUCCCGCGCUGAAUACGUCCCUGCCCUUUGUACACACCGCCCGUCGCACCUACCGAUUGAGUGGUCCGGUGAGGCUUUGGGAUCUGAGCGGAAAGAGCGUUUCGCUGUUUCUGCUCGGAAAACUCAGUCGAACCUUAUCAUUUAGAGGAAGGAGAAGUCGUAACA
RNAcentral lists this ribosomal RNA (322 nucleotides) under uncultured eukaryote. RNAcentral describes it as "partial 18S ribosomal RNA". It matches the Rfam family "Eukaryotic small subunit ribosomal RNA", at positions 1470 to 1796 of the family's 1831-position model. The record is from RNAcentral.